This is a long non-coding RNA of Fundulus heteroclitus (mummichog), 338 nucleotides long. RefSeq lists it as uncharacterized. The record is from RefSeq and is a predicted model, not a curated record. The transcript has 2 exons. NCBI's taxonomy places the organism in Eukaryota, Metazoa, Chordata, Actinopteri, Cyprinodontiformes, Fundulidae.
CACUGAUGCUCCAGGAAGAAUACAAUGUCGAUAUUGCCAUACCAUGGUUGUGACGUCAACCGAAUCCAAAGUGGGCAUGUGCACCUGGUUAAUUUUUGGAGGCCUUUGCAUUUUCGGAAUCUGGCCCUUCUGUUUGAUCCCCUUCUGUGUGCCGUCUUGCCAGGAUGUGCAGCAUUCCUGCCCGACAUGCAACCAUGUUCUUUACGUCUACAAACGCAGCUAAAGCAUUGAAUCCUGCAUUGAGUGAAAUGUCUGCUGAACCUCUAUUAGGUUGGACUGUAAAUACAUUUAGUAUGUUUUCCCAAUGUGUUUUAACAAAUCAUUAAAAUGUGACAUAA